RNAcentral lists this ribosomal RNA (305 nucleotides) under uncultured bacterium. RNAcentral describes it as "bacterial SSU rRNA". It matches the Rfam family "Bacterial small subunit ribosomal RNA", at positions 333 to 636 of the family's 1533-position model. The record is from RNAcentral.
UGUAGCCUACGGGGGGCAGCAGUGAGGAAUAUUGGUCAAUGGGCGCGAGCCUGAACCAGCCAAGUCGCGUGAGGGAAGACGGUCCUAUGGAUUGUAAACCUCUUUUGUCGGGGAGCAAAAGACGCCACGCGUGGCGUUCCGGGAGUACCCGAAGAAAAAGCAUCGGCUAACUCCGUGCCAGCAGCCGCGGUAAUACGGAGGAUGCGAGCGUUAUCCGGAUUUAUUGGGUUUAAAGGGUGCGCAGGCGGAAGAUCAAGUCAGCGGUAAAAUGUCGGUGCUCAACACCGGCCUGCCGUUGAAACUGG